AACAAACGCUGGCGGCGUGCCUAAUACAUGCAAGUCGAACGGGGAAAGUAGCAAUAUGAGUACUAGUGGCGCACGGGUGAGUAACGCGUGGAUAAUCUGCCUUGAAGAGGGGGAUAACUAGUCGAAAGAUUAGCUAAUACCGCAUAAGACCACAAGAACUGAGGUUCAAGGGGUCAAAGGUUUUUCGCUUCAAGAUGAGUCCGCGUAAGAUUAGCUAGUUGGUGAGGUAAUGGCUCACCAAGGCAACGAUCUUUAACUGGUCUGAGAGGAUGAUCAGUCACACUGGAACUGAGACACGGUCCAGACUCCUACGGGAGGCGGCAGUAGGGAAUAUUGCACAAUGGAGGAAACUCUGAUGCAGCGACGCCGCGUGAGUGAUGAAGGCCUUCGGGUCGUAAAGCUCUGUCGCAGGGGAAUAACACAAUGAAUGUACCCUGUAAGAAAGGAUCGGCUAACUUCGUG
Molecule: ribosomal RNA, 462 nt
Filed under: uncultured bacterium
Lineage: Bacteria
Description: partial 16S ribosomal RNA
Rfam family: Bacterial small subunit ribosomal RNA
Source: RNAcentral